CAGCCGCCGCGGUAAUACGUAGGGGGCAAGCGUUAUCCGGAUUUACUGGGUGUAAAGGGAGCGCAGACGGCAGUGCAAGUCUGAAGUGAAAGGCGUGGGCUCAACCCAUGAACUGCUUUGGAAACUGUAUAGCUUGAGUGUCGGGGGGGUAAGCGGAAUUCCUAGUGUAGCGGUGAAAUGCGUAGAUAUUAGGAGGAACACCGGAGGCGAAGGCGGCUUACUGGACGACAACUGACGUUGAGGCUCGAAGGCGUGGGGAGCAAACAGGAUUAGAUACCCCCGUAGUCCCUGUCUCUUAUAC
Molecule: ribosomal RNA, 301 nt
Filed under: uncultured bacterium
Lineage: Bacteria
Description: partial 16S ribosomal RNA
Rfam family: Bacterial small subunit ribosomal RNA
Source: RNAcentral